GAUGACCGCUGCCGGCGUGCCUAACCACAUGCAAGUUGAGCAGAAAUCACUUAAAGAAGCUUCGGUAGACUUAAGAGAUGAGAGCAGCGGACGGGUGAGUAACGCGUGGGAAACCUGCCCUUGACAGGAGGAUAGCCGAGAGAAAUUUCGAUUAAUACUUCAUAAAGCAGAGCAUUCGCAUGGAUGAACUGCCAAAGAAUUAUCGGUCAAGGAUGGUCCCGCGUCUGAUUAGCUGGUUGGUAAGGUAGCGGCUUACCAAGGCGACGAUCAGUAGCCGGCCUGAGAGGGUGAACGGCCACAUUGGAACUGAGACACGGUCCAGACUCCUACGGGAGGCAGCAGUGGGGAAUAUUGCACAAUGGGCGAAAGCCUGAUGCAGCAACGCCGCGUGAAGGAAGAAGGCUUUCGAGUCGUAAACUUCUGUCCAAAGGGAAGAAUAAUGACGGUACCUUUGAAGAAAGCCCGCUC
This 468-nucleotide ribosomal RNA is filed under the name Eubacterium sp. oral taxon G32. RNAcentral describes it as "bacterial SSU rRNA". It matches the Rfam family "Bacterial small subunit ribosomal RNA", at positions 28 to 497 of the family's 1533-position model. The record is from RNAcentral. Lineage: Bacteria; Bacillati; Bacillota; Clostridia; Eubacteriales; Eubacteriaceae.